CCUGAGAAACCCGAAAGAUCGAAAGGGGAGAUUCAUCGUCAGCGGCGUCGGCUUCUCGUCGGCUCGUCGCGCGCUCCCGCGACCAUCCCUCACCGGAUGUGUCGUGUGCUGUAGUCGCGCGGCGUCCUUCGCGUGCGCGCGCCCAAGGGGCGCGCCGUCCAUGUCCGACAACGUAGGCGUGCACUUCUCCCCUAGUAGAACGUCGCGACCCGCUGGGCGCCGGUCUACGGCCCGGUGCGUCGCCUGUCCCGCCGUCCUUUGUGGCGUCGCGGGCCAGACGCCCGGUGCAUCGUCCCGACCGGCUGCCCGGCGGUAUCACUCGCAAGGUACUCUGGCCGCAAGUGCGCGUUCCGCGCGCAACGUGCGUCCUUCGAAAAAGGCUCGCCGCAAGCGCGGUCAGUGCUAACGCAAACCCGUGUCUGUACGGACGAACUACGCCGUCGCCGGGGAUGACCCGCUGUUCGCUGCGCGAUGUCCUCGAACAGGCAUGUGUAGUACCGGUCAGCGACGCUAUUGCUUCGGGUACUUUCAGG
RNAcentral lists this ribosomal RNA (533 nucleotides) under Evaniella sp. 307. RNAcentral's name for it is "eukaryotic LSU rRNA". Lineage: Eukaryota; Metazoa; Arthropoda; Insecta; Hymenoptera; Evaniidae. The record is from RNAcentral.